Molecule: long non-coding RNA, 473 nt
Organism: Ornithodoros turicata
Lineage: Eukaryota; Metazoa; Arthropoda; Arachnida; Ixodida; Argasidae
Exons: 2
Source: RefSeq, a predicted model, not a curated record
CUUCCCACGCCCACGGUAUAGGAGUGCUUGUUGUGUGAUCGUCGAAAGUUUACAUGUGAUCUUUCUUCACGAGCGUCCUCUGACGGAAACCCAGUUUCCUCCUGCCAAUCUCGAGAAGACCUUAUCAGAAACAACUCAACGGAGGUCGAGCUGUGUCAGAAACUCCAGAGCGUCGACAACAAAUAUCAGCGGCCAGCCGUGAAGCAAUGUGUCCCUUGGCUGGCAUCGUGGCCUCUCUACUGGUCGUGGCAGCGACGGCGAUGCCGCCUUUCGCGCACAGCGCCAACUGCAGCGGAGAAGUGGAAGCAAUCUGUACGGAGUGCAUUCGGGUUACUGGGGCCAGCGAAGCCUACGACAACUGCUGCCAGAACUUGCAUGACAUCCUCGACUACUGUCGUCACUUCCUCCUCUAUUCUGUGUGACUUCCACCGAGUGACCCAUUACCCAAUAAAUUCAAUGUGGACACUCAAAAA